UCGGAUCGUUUUAGAAACAUCAGUGGCCAACAGAUCGCCAGAUCGUUGAGCUGCAUUGGCGGGAUUUCGCCGUCUUCGUUUCUCUUUCUUCGCGGACGAACACGCGCCGGGGCUGCGCUGUGCGAUUGCAUCUGCGCUGGUCGCGGAUGCAUGCACGCAAGACCCUAGUCCUGAUAAGGAUAGCGUUAGGGGCUUGUAGCUCAGUUGGUUAGAGCGCGCGCUUGAUAAGCGUGAGGUCGGAAGUUCAAGUCUUCCCAGGCCCACCACGCUUCGCCGUUGGCUUUGCGUGGCGCUGCCAUGCAAGACGAUGAAGCGAAGCGUGUCCGGCAUAGCCCGAAGGGCGACGCCGGACUUAGAGAGGCGCUUCGUCUUCUGGUUACGGGGCCAUAGCUCAGCUGGGAGAGCGCGUGCUUUGCAAGCAUGAGGUCGUCGGUUCGAUCCCGUCUGGCUCCACCAGAUGGUUUGAUCACCGAGAUCUUGCACCGUCGUCCGCGAAACAUCACUUCGCAUUCACUAGUCUGGAUAGACAGUGAACUGCGUGUUUUCUGACAUCGUAAAGAGGAGAUCGAUCCGAGUUGGGUCGUGCAGCAUAUCGUUGCGCGAGCCUUCAUUAUCUCCGGAUCAUUUUCGGCGCUCGCGUCUGACCGCAAGGUUGGCUGCGAGUUGUAAAAUGAUCCUUUUAGCGAAGCUUGACCGCCUCGCUAUCGGAACGAUCUUACGAAGCAAGCUGGUCUUUCUAGUCAAUGUCCGGCUGUACGUAGCAUUCAUCGAGGGUGCGCGCCGCAAGGGCAAUCGUACAGACAACAUUCUGCCGAGUGUGUGGACAUUGAUAAUGAGAGCAAUCAAGUGCCUUAAGGGUGUUCGGUGGAUGCCUUGGCGCUGAGAGGCGAUGAAAGGACGUGCUACGCUGCGAUAAGCCGUGGGGAGCUGCGAAGAAGCUUU
This 942-nucleotide unclassified non-coding RNA is filed under the name Bradyrhizobium sp. 3-2. RNAcentral describes it as "partial 16S-23S ribosomal RNA intergenic spacer". The stretch from base 190 to 263 matches the Rfam family "tRNA". Lineage: Bacteria; Pseudomonadati; Pseudomonadota; Alphaproteobacteria; Hyphomicrobiales; Nitrobacteraceae. The record is from RNAcentral.